GAUGAAGAACGUAGCGAAAUGCGAUACUUGGUGUGAAUUGCAGAAUUCAGUGAAUCAUCGAAUCUUUGAACGCACAUUGCGCCCCUUGGUAUUCCGAGGGGCAUGCCUGUUCGAGCGUCAUUAUAACCCCUCAAGCUCAGCUUGGUGUUGGGGCCUGCUGCACUGGCAGCCCUUAAAAUCAGUGGCGGCGCCAUCUGGCUCUAAGCGUAGUAAUUCUUCUCGCUAUGGAGUCCUGGUGGAUGCUUGCCAUCAACCCCCAAUUUUUCUAUGGUUGACCUCGGAUCAGGUAGGGAUACCCGCUGAACUUAAGCAUAUCAAUAAGCGGAGGA
RNAcentral lists this unclassified non-coding RNA (329 nucleotides) under soil metagenome. RNAcentral's name for it is "partial contains 5.8S ribosomal RNA, internal transcribed spacer 2, and large subunit ribosomal RNA". The stretch from base 1 to 120 matches the Rfam family "5.8S ribosomal RNA", at positions 35 to 154 of the family's 154-position model. The record is from RNAcentral.